Long non-coding RNA from Amphimedon queenslandica, 285 nucleotides. RefSeq lists it as uncharacterized. NCBI's taxonomy places the organism in Eukaryota, Metazoa, Porifera, Demospongiae, Haplosclerida, Niphatidae. The record is from RefSeq and is a predicted model, not a curated record. The transcript is spliced from 5 exons.
CACACCUCCUGAUUACUUUAGAGAUUUGAGGUACUUUAUAGUCUGUGUAUUAGUGUAUCAGCACCGUAUAUACUCGUAUUGAAUCAGUUGGCAUGGUAUUGGAUGAUGUCAGUACAGGGAGGAUCACGUGAUAGGUCACAUGACUUGAUAUCAACUGCCGUUCCUCGUGUGAAUGGGUGGGAGUGUCCCUGGCACCCACUGUACUUAACUUCAAAUGGGUGUCAUAUAUAAGCUGGACCUCAUCCAAAGUUUCACUUUUGGUUCGUUGAUAUCAGCAGUUGAUCC